Non-coding RNA from Mycobacterium sp. E787, 111 nucleotides. The record is from Rfam. NCBI's taxonomy places the organism in Bacteria, Bacillati, Actinomycetota, Actinomycetes, Mycobacteriales, Mycobacteriaceae.
ACCGAAGAACACGGGAGUCCCGGCGAGCGGGGACUGAGAGUGGGCGCGCGUGCCCUUACCGUCACACCUGAUCCGGGUCAUGCCGGCGAAGGGAGCACAGGAUGCCCAACU